Homo sapiens (human) is the source of this 1573-nucleotide long non-coding RNA. NCBI's taxonomy places the organism in Eukaryota, Metazoa, Chordata, Mammalia, Primates, Hominidae. The record is from Ensembl.
AGAACAAAGCAAGCAGAAGAGAAAAGGGUGAGCAGCUUGCUCAUCACUCUCUCUGUCUUCCCGUGCUGGAUGCUUCCUUCCUCUCCUCCUGCCCUUGGACAUCAGACUUCCUGGUCUUUGGCCUUUGGACUCUGGGACUUGCACCAGCGGCCUCCUGGAGGAUUACAGGGCUUCAUCCUAAGACCGAGACCUACGCAGUCGGCUUCUCUGGUUUUGAGGCUUUUAGACUUGGACUGAGUCACACUACGGGCUUCUGUCUUUCCCCAGCUUGCCAAGAGCCUGUUGUGGGAUUUCUGCUCGUAAUCAUGUGAGCCAGUUCUCCCUAAUAAACUCACUUCUAUGUGUAUUUCUGUGUGUACAUGUAUUCUAUUGACCAUGUCACUCUGGAGAACUCUGACUAAUGAAUGUAUUAAAGAGAUAGGAUGUGUUUUGAUAAAAGGGUUGAAAGAGGGCAUGGGACUGUGGUUCUUUUUAAGAAAACAUCAUUUUGUUUAGUUUAGAGGUUUUAAGGAUCAUUUCAAGUUAAAAGAAAGAUAUGGCAAAAAAGAAAUUUUAAGCAAAUUGUAGUAGGUUUGUGGAAGAUUGAUCUCAUAAAAGAAACCAUGUGUGAUGAAGUUUGGCUAAAAUUUAAAAGAAAUCAUUUAGUUUUUCUAUAAAUUGAACAUGAACAUAAAUAGCACAUGGAUGCUGGGCCAGCCUCUGAACCUCUGUGUCAGAGUAAUAGGGAAUACUCGGUAUAUUGAUCUGCUCUUUAACAGAAAAAUCUUAAAAGCUAUAAAAGAUUUAUGGAAAUUUUACCUCAUGAUCAAACUAAUUAAAAUUUGAUAGAUUUGUUUAUAGGAUUGUAUAAAAUGAGCUUCAGCAUUACUAAUCCAUUAAUACAAAGGUAACAUUUAGUUUUUCUCUUUUGAACAAGAUUUUUGUGUAAUAUCAAAACAUGAUGGAAGAGUUUUGUUUGCCUGUUGAGCAAACUAUAAAAGAGAAAGAAAUGAGAGAGAGAAACAGAUUCAGUUGGCCUCAUGUUGUCUAUAUGAUGUCUUAUUCUUUGGGAAACUGAGUCUUCUGUCCAUCACAGAGAAAAGGUUUCUGCUUUUUUGAAAUCUUUAAUUCUGUGUCCUUUCUCUCUGGAUCAUUCCAAUACAUACCUCUACUCUUCAGUUGGUCAGAGGAUGUUUAAGUCUAAUUUGUUUUUGUUCUUGCAUUUGCUUUUGUCUUGGUUUUGCUUUGCUGUGUGCUGCUUGCAUCCAAAGGAUCUUGACUGAUUUAAAAAAAAAUGAUACCAACCAGUUGGUUGCAGAUAACAGACCCUCAGGAUGGUUGGUAUUUGUGGAAUUAGCGUUCAGGCUGAGAGGGAGGGGGAACAACAGUGAAACUCCCCACGCCGACCAGCAUAGCACCUGCUGCCACCUGGUGGAACGUGGCUGAGACAAGGAACGCUGGGACCUGAAGCAGGACCUACACUUCAAACAAACAUCUGGCUUUGAAAUGUUUCCUGAAGGCAUCAAAUAAAUUGUGGCUGUCGAUGUUGUUGGCUGACUCUCCUCCUAUGAGAAUAAAAUUCAGAGACUGAUUC